This 517-nucleotide ribosomal RNA is filed under the name uncultured bacterium. RNAcentral describes it as "bacterial SSU rRNA". It matches the Rfam family "Bacterial small subunit ribosomal RNA", at positions 992 to 1509 of the family's 1533-position model. The record is from RNAcentral.
AGAACUUAGCAGAGAUGCUUUGGUGCCUUCGGGAACUCUGAGACAGGUGCUGCAUGGCUGUCGUCAGCUCGUGUUGUGAAAUGUUGGGUUAAGUCCCGCAACGAGCGCAACCCUUAUCCUUUGUUGCCAGCGGCUCGGCCGGGAACUCAAAGGAGACUGCCGGUGAUAAACCGGAGGAAGGUGGGGAUGACGUCAAGUCAUCAUGGCCCUUACGGCCAGGGCUACACACGUGCUACAAUGGCGCAUACAAAGAGAAGCGACCUCGCGAGAGCAAGCGGACCUCACAAAGUGCGUCGUAGUCCGGAUUGGAGUCUGCAACUCGACUCCAUGAAGUCGGAAUCGCUAGUAAUCGUAGAUCAGAAUGCUACGGUGAAUACGUUCCCGGGCCUUGUGCACACCGCCCGUCACACCAUGGGAGUGGGUUGCAAAAGAAGUAGGUAGCUUAACCUUCGGGAGGGCGCUUACCACUUUGUGAUUCAUGACUGGGGUGAAGUCGUAACAAGGUAGGCGUAGCGAG